RNAcentral lists this ribosomal RNA (497 nucleotides) under uncultured bacterium. RNAcentral describes it as "partial 16S ribosomal RNA". It matches the Rfam family "Bacterial small subunit ribosomal RNA", at positions 28 to 507 of the family's 1533-position model. The record is from RNAcentral.
GAUGAACGCUGGCGGCGUGCCUAAUACAUGCAAGUCGAGCGAACAGACGAGGAGCUUGCUCCUCUGACGUUAGCGGCGGACGGGUGAGUAACACGUGGAUAACCUACCUAUAAGACUGGGAUAACUUCGGGAAACCGGAGCUAAUACCGGAUAAUAUAUUGAACCGCAUGGUUCAAUAGUGAAAGACGGUUUUGCUGUCACUUAUAGAUGGAUCCGCGCCGCAUUAGCUAGUUGGUAAGGUAACGGCUUACCAAGGCAACGAUGCGUAGCCGAACUGAGAGGGUGAUCGGCCACACGGGAACUGAGACACGGUCCAGACUCCUACGGGAGGCAGCAGUAGGCAAUCUUCCGCAAUGGGCGAAAGCCUGACGGAGCAACGCCGCGUGAGUGAUGAAGGUCUUCGGAUCGUAAAACUCUGUUAUUAGGGAAGAACAAAUGUGUAAGUAACUAUGCACGUCUUGACGGUACCUAAUCAGAAAGCCACGGCUAACUACGUG